This 1248-nucleotide ribosomal RNA is filed under the name bacterium. RNAcentral describes it as "bacterial SSU rRNA". It matches the Rfam family "Bacterial small subunit ribosomal RNA", at positions 34 to 1281 of the family's 1533-position model. The record is from RNAcentral.
UGCCUGGCGGAGCUUACCAUGCAGUCGAGCGGGGAAGAGUAGCUUGCUACUUUACCUAGCGGCGGACGGGUGAGUAAUGCUUAGGAAUCUGCCUAUUAGUGGGGGACAACAUUCCGAAAGGGAUGCUAAUACCGCAUACGUCCUACGGGAGAAAGCAGGGGACCUUCGGGCCUUGCGCUAAUAGAUGAGCCUAAGUCGGAUUAGCUAGUUGGUGGGGUAAAGGCCUACCAAGGCGACGAUCUGUAGCGGGUCUGAGAGGAUGAUCCGCCACACUGGGACUGAGACACGGCCCAGACUCCUACGGGAGGCAGCAGUGGGGAAUAUUGGACAAUGGGGGGAACCCUGAUCCAGCCAUGCCGCGUGUGUGAAGAAGGCCUUAUGGUUGUAAAGCACUUUAAGCGAGGAGGAGGCUACCUAGAUUAAUACUCUAGGAUAGUGGACGUUACUCGCAGAAUAAGCACCGGCUAACUCUGUGCCAGCAGCCGCGGUAAUACAGAGGGUGCGAGCGUUAAUCGGAUUUACUGGGCGUAAAGCGUGCGUAGGUGGCUAAUUAAGUCAAAUGUGAAAUCCCCGAGCUUAACUUGGGAAUUGCAUUCGAUACUGGUUAGCUAGAGUAUGGGAGAGGAUGGUAGAAUUCCAGGUGUAGCGGUGAAAUGCGUAGAGAUCUGGAGGAAUACCGAUGGCGAAGGCAGCCAUCUGGCCUAAUACUGACACUGAGGUACGAAAGCAUGGGGGAGCAAACAGGAUUAGAUACCCUGGUAGUCCAUGCCGUAAACGAUGUCUACUAGCCGUUGGGGUCUUUGAGACUUUAGUGGCGCAGCUAACGCGAUAAGUAGACCGCCUGGGGAGUACGGUCGCAAGACUAAAACUCAAAUGAAUUGACGGGGGCCCGCACAAGCGGUGGAGCAUGUGGUUUAAUUCGAUGCAACGCGAAGAACCUUACCUGGGCCUUGAAAUAGUAGAAACUUUCCAGAGAUGGGAUUGGUGCCUUCGGGAAUCUACAUACAGGUGCUGCAUGGCUGUCGUCAGCUCGUGUUCGUGAGAUGUUGGGGUUAAGUCCCCGCAACGAGGCGCAACCCUUUUUCCUUAUUUGCCCAGCGAGUAAUGGUCGGGACUUAAGAUAACUGCCCAGUGACAAAACUGAGAGGCGGACGAACGGUCAAGUCAUCAUGCCUUACGCAGGCUUACACACCUGCUCUAUGUCCGUACAAAGAUGCUACCUAGGCGGAAUUAGGAGAUGUUCUAAAU